Molecule: non-coding RNA, 78 nt
Organism: Trichonephila inaurata madagascariensis
Lineage: Eukaryota; Metazoa; Arthropoda; Arachnida; Araneae; Nephilidae
Source: the annotation of a GenBank genome assembly
GAAGGGAUAGCUCAGUGGUAGAGCAUUCAAAUGUAGUUUGGGAGGUCCCCGGUUAAAACCCGGGUGCCCCUAUUUUCA